This is a long non-coding RNA of Acipenser ruthenus (sterlet), 2348 nucleotides long. RefSeq lists it as uncharacterized. The transcript is spliced from 3 exons. The record is from RefSeq and is a predicted model, not a curated record. NCBI's taxonomy places the organism in Eukaryota, Metazoa, Chordata, Actinopteri, Acipenseriformes, Acipenseridae.
CACAAGGCACAGGGAUAGUGAUUCAGGUAAGGUCAGGUCAGGUCGAGUCAGUCCUGGGCAGUAAGUAAGCUGUUAGAAAUGAUAGGUAGGAAAAGUUAGAGGCGGAUUUCUUUUCCCCUUUUGUUUCUUUUUUAUUUCUUUUGUUGCAACUUGAUAGCACAGGAAGGCGCUUAUUGAAACAAACUGUUUAGAAUUCAAGGCACUGCGGAGAAUGAUGCGUGUUUGUUAGUGAACUGAAUGUGAAAUAGACAAGCAGCUAAGUUAUUGGAGUUGUAGCAACUUGGAAAUUAAGCAAUUCUGUAACCCGCUGGUACUGACUAAGAGAACGUUUGUAACUGAAGAUUUUAACUAUUUUAUUGUCUUUUAAAUUGCACGGAUUUUGAGAAGAGAGUGACGGUGUGGUUUCAGCAGCCACCCUUCUUGUGGAUGGUUGCAGUAGGGCAGGCGAGUUCCCUUCCCUCCUGCACUGGGCCUGGAGGACGUGCAAGCAACAUUGACAGAAAACAUUUCCCCCUUAGAAAGUCUGCCUCUCGGUGUGACGGAUGGACGGUCAGCAUUAAAGUGGGACUGAUUUUGAUUUUUUUUUAUUUCUUUUUUUCAAGGACACUCAACAUCUAGCUUGAGCUCGGUUAUCAUUUUUUUUUCUUUUGGAUUUUUUUUUCUUUAUUUGGUCUGCCCUUCACUUUAAUUUAUUUUCUUCCUUUUUAUUAUUACCAGCUCGAGUAUAAGUUGAGAAAUCUAAACCCAAAACACAGUCCUGAAGUUGGGGGGGGGGGGGGGUCAACUAAUGCACAGCCAAACAUAUGAACCGAUCUAUAAUUUAUAGUAACAUAUAGUCUAUAUUUACUGAUUGCGAUGACCGGCGGCGGUAUUGAACGCUAUGGAGGUUAUUAUUAUUAUUAGGCUAAAGCAUAUUCGAGGUCUAUACUGGAGACAGGAGAUUGAAUAUUUGUGGGAAUGUGAAUCAGGAGAAAUAAUGGAAAGGUCAGCGCAUCCCGCUGCUUCGCCAGAGUAGCUGCUUGGGCAUGACGCGACUAAUACAGAAAGUAAGGCAGAUAAAAAAAGGUUAGUUAGCAAGUAAGACUGACACACAGACUUGGAGGACAAAACACAGAGCUGGCCGAUCUUUUCCAAAGCUACCUCCUGUUGAAGGACAGACGCCUGUCGUCUGUGCUCCCACUAGAAUCUGGGGUAAUGUCCACUUUCAGUGUUAUACAUGCUGCUUAUAUAUUUGAAUGCUUUUAAACAGAGACUCAUACUAAAAUGUUGUGAUUCAGAUGAACUUUCAUGGUUGUGCUUUCUUCCUUCCUACACAGCACCUAUUCUGACAUCAUUAAAGGUACAGGCACCCCACUCCUGGUACCAUAAUCUUACACAUGUAUAGCAUGAAUUAUAUUCAUUGUUAAUCCUACAAAAUACAGUAACAACAUGUCCAGAAGGAGUGGAGUGAUAAAUACAAAUAUUUCGUCAGUAAUGUAAUUUGGGUUAGAAAAAAUAUAUUAGUAGGGCUGUCAAGUGAUUAAUUUUUCUCAAUUAAUCUUGGUUUUAAUCACAUAUUUCAUUGAUACAAUUACUGCAUCCAUCUCAUUUAAGUUUGUAUUAUUAUUAUUAUUAUUAUUAUUAUUAUUAUUAUUAUUAUUAUUAUUAUUAUCAUUAUUAUUAUUAUUAUUUAAUAAACAACCCAGCAUAAAAACACUGUUUUCCUAUUUCUGGAUUCUGGAUCCUAUUUGUUGGUCCCUGUUUAUAGUUUUAUAUUUAUUUACAAUCCAGCAUUUGUUGUUAAAUUGUUUGUACCAACUGCUAAAUCACAACGGAGUCAGUUUAUUACUCACCUUACUGCAUUUACAAUUAACAGUUUCCUUUACAGUUUACUGCACUCAUAAACUGAUGUUUUUGAUUGCUGUUUAAAUAACAACAACAACAAUUAUAAGAAUUAUGUUUUAUUAAUAACUUGAAAUUGUCUAAAUAAAACCAAAUAUUCACAAGUAAUGGUUAUAUCCCUCAUAAUUGUAAAUAAUAUUGCUUAAAAAUAAAUGUGGUAAAUGAAAUAAAACAAAGCUACAAUGUGACCGGCUCUGUAGUCGGUAGCUAUCCAACAGCACUGGUUAUACUUAUAGUAUCAUUUCUAAAAGAGUACUCUGUCGAAACUGACAUGUUUCAAAUGUUGUUCUAUUGUCUGUAGCAGAAGAACUACUAGAAAGUGUAUUUUGAGAAGUGAAAGCAUAUUUAGCACGCAGGUGGUACAGCCGCCUAGAUGCACUUCUGUGAUACUGGAACUCACUUUGACUGUAGAUACAAGUAACCCUCUUUCUAUCCAAUGAAUCAUCAGAAAGUUUAAUAAAAAUAAA